AACGCACCUUGCGCUCUUUGGUAUUCCGAAGAGCAUGCCUGUUCCCGAAGAGCAUGCCUGUUUGAGUGUCAUGAAAAUAUCAACCUUGACUUGGGUUUUGUGCUCUAGUCUCGGCUUGGAAUUGGGUGCUUGCCGCUUUUACGAGCGGCUCACCUUAAAUGUAUUAGCUGGAUCUGUCUUUGAGACUUGGUUUGACUUGGCGUAAUAAGUAUUUCGCUAAGGACAUUCUUCGGAGUGGCCUCGUUUCUAGGACGCUUGUCCGCUUUCCAAUACAAGUUCCACCUCGUGGACAUGACUUUUUAUUAUCUGGCCUCAAAUCAGGUAGGACUACCCGCUGAACUUAA
Molecule: unclassified non-coding RNA, 344 nt
Filed under: uncultured Solicoccozyma
Lineage: Eukaryota; Fungi; Basidiomycota; Tremellomycetes; Filobasidiales; Piskurozymaceae
Description: sequence contains ITS2
Source: RNAcentral